GCUGUCCCCUCCUGUAAUGGCCAGAGCCCAGCUUCUGGGCCUGAAAGUCGAGAUCAGAUCCCAGUUCUGCAAUUUAUCAGCUCUGAGGCCUUGGUGAGGGCGUCCACCGGGGCCUCAAUUUCCCCAUCCAUCAAAAGGGGGCAAUGCGCCGACUAAAUUAGUGAACAGAGAAGCUACUAAGCUGAGAUUAAAAUGAGUUAACUUAUCUAAAGUGCUUAAAACCGUGCCCAAUGAACAGUGAACUUCACGUCCCUUUGCUCUUACUGUCAUGUGUCUGUGGUGGUGGACCUUGGCCUGGGCUCCAGGACCAGGCACACGUCCCAGGCCUGGCCAUGGGUGGUUCAGAAGUGGGCAUAACCCAAAGCCGGGCUUACCUGCAGCCCAUCCUGAGACCUGCUGGGACAAUCAGAACCACAGUGCGGGGGAAGGACGGAAGCUGAAGUUCCUGUUGGUCGUCUGGUCCCGAGGGGGCUGAGCCAGCAGAGUUGGAGCCAAUGCGGGCCUGCCUCCUCUGCUGCCUUGUGACCACCUGGAUCCAGCUGGCCGGGAAUUUUUAGUUAUUUGAGCCGUUAAAUUCCCUAAUUAGCUUAAGCCUGUUUGAGCUGCUUUUUUUGUCCCCUGCAGAAGAAAAACAGUCCUGAGACACUCAGCCUGGGAUGGUCCCCUGAAGAAAGGAGACAGAAAGUCAUGCCCGUGUGGGGCCAUCCUGCAUGCUGCGGAUGGAGAAGGCGGAGCAGCCUGGGGCAGGGUGGCCAAGCUUCCCGAUGGCUCUCCUGUCCUGAGCUUUCCUGGCUGCACCAGGGUGCCCAGGGCCUAUGAGACACCAGUGUGAGCUGGUAAUAAAUGUCCCUUUCUUGCUUGAGAGCCAGAGUCCUAAUGAACAGUAUGAUUUCUGUUGUUUGUGUUUAGGAAGUAAUGUGGACAGAACAUAAACGUCCUGUGAGGUCGGCGUAUGUAGUUCGUUCGUUGAUGGCUAACUUGCUAUCGUAUUUGCCAAACAACAAAUGUGAUCCGAACGGAUGGACGUGUGUUUGAAAGACAGAGGUCUCCCCACACUCGCCGUCCGCAGAUGAAUCGGCACUGACCUUGCUAAGCACUGCCCGGAGGGAAGCCUGUUCUCUGGCUGCCCCUUUCUUCUCCUUUCUAAGAUGAAGAGGUGGCCCUUCCUGCUCCCCCAGCGCCACCCCGCCUGGGCCUGGGCAUUCUGUCCCCUCCCCGGUCCUGAAAAGGCUCACACCCAACUUGUUCCACCAGCAGCUUCUCCUUUUUGCCUUCAAACAAGUCCAAUCCCUGUUCUCUAAAACUUCAAGAUAUUAAGAGCGAUGCAGGCCUGCUGCCUCUGGGUCCCCACCCCUGGCCCUCUGCCUGCAGCUGUGUUACCAGCUUCCACCAAACAAAAGGUGAAUAAAUCACCAGUCCCUUCAUGGUUGCUAAGUUCUGUUACCAAUUGAACUCUCCCCAACUGGUUUGGACUGGUUUGGUUCAGCCGUCUUCUCCUUCCUUUCGUUCUGUUUUCCCCCAACACCUGCGCCCUGCUCUCCGAGCCCACUGGGAGGAUGUCUCGGAGCUGCUUCUGGGCUCCCACUGCCUCCACUCUGCUCUGGGCUCCCCUAGGCGGCCCCAGCUUCUCAGAGAGCUGGCCUCCUCCUCCUGUGCUGCUGCCUGCUUAUGCUUCGCUGUGACUUCAGGCCCAGCGUAUUCAAAAGUCCCACCUCCACACUGGCCAGCGCCCCACUCAGCAGCCACGGGGGCGCAGAGGGAGCUGGGAUUUUGCAAUUGCAAGCCUUGGCCUCAAAUCCCACUCUGCUAGUCCCUAAUCAUGUGAUCCCGGGCAAGUCACUACAACUCCUUUGGUUUCCUCCUCUGCAAACGGGGUCGACAGUGAUGUCCCCUCACAGGGUUGCUGCAGGCACCAGAGCAGGUGACGGAUGGAACACCUCACUGAACGCUGGGACGUGGGUUAUUGAGUGACAUACGAUAGUGUAAGAAUUAAGGAAACAGGCUUGGAGUCAAAGCACCGGAUUUAGCUCCUGGCUGUGUCCUUUCCUGGCGGUAUGACCUUGGCCAAUGAACAAGCAUAGCUGUGCCUCAUUUUCCACAUCUGCACAGUGGGCAUCUUACCAUGACCCUGCAGCUGGGUGUUGGGAGGAAGGUGGUUCCCACGGGCUCAGGGCUCGGAGCAGCGCCUGGCUUACAGACAGCAUUCACUAAACGUUUGCUGUGACACUUUCUCACUCUUCCCCAGCACGUUUCUAACUGACAGGGUCCCUAACCUCCCUGCCUGUCGGUGCCCGUAUUUUCAGAUCUGUUCAGUCACUGCUCAUAGAGUCUCAGGUGGCUGUGGUGUCCAGUGUCUUCAAGGACUGGCCCUGGCGGUGUGCACCCCAGGGAAGAGGCCAUGGCUUCUCUCUACCCGGCCUUCUCCGGACGUCUCUGCAGCAGGGCUGCCUGCUGUGGGGCCUGCCUCCGACCUGGGGACACAGUGAAGGAAGUUCAUUCUUCGCCAUCCUUUGGUUUAUUUGUCUGCACUUUAAGAUCUUAAUGGGUAGCAGGGUCUUGUUGUUUCUCCCUGAAGCUAUCUUUCCUCUUCUAAGGUGAGCCCCGGUGUCUCUAAAGCACAGCCACACUGCUGGGCAGGCUGCCUGAGGGCUGUCUCCCCGGCAGGCCGGCCCCCCUUGCCACCCCCAGGCUCAGCAUCCUGUCUCGCCAGAUGAUGGCUCUGCCACCCUUUGCCUGCCUGCCGUCUCUACAGCCACGCAUCUCAGCAGCUCCCUGUUACCUACAAGUUCACUGCACCAAAUUCAAAGACCUGAUCUUUUUCCUUGUACCCUCCUUGUACCUGAAAGUAUUUAAGGUGGCAUCUCAUUGUUAUUUUUUUAAGAUCCUCGAUGAUCUCGCUACAAAACUGGACCUUCAGAAUAGGCUUAGAACCCAUGCCAAAGUAGUCGCUCGGUCUGUCCAGGUCCCCUGUUGGCUUGGUGGCCGUCUCUGAGGGGCACCUACUCUGUUCCCGGCGGUGCAGCAGCGGUCAAGGCCUCACUCUCAGCAUCUUAGGUCCAGCUGGGCUCCAGCCCAUGGAGUCAGCAUGUUAGUGCCUAGAGCUGCUAUAGCAAAGUGCUACAAAUGGGGCGGCUUUUGAAAAACAGAAGUGUAUGCUUUCACAGCUCGGAGGCCUGAAAUCAACGUGUCAGCAGGGCCGCACUCCCUCCGAAGGUUCUGAGGAAGAAUGCUUCCAGCCUCGUCCAGCUUCUGGGGCCCUUGGCAUUCCCUGAUUUGUGGCCACGUCACCCCACUCCCAGCCUCUGUCUUCACAGGGCCGUGCUCUCCUUGUGUGUCUGUCUCCAAACCCCCACUCUUCCUGAGGACACUGGGCAUUGGCUUUAGGGUCCAUCCGAAUCCCGCACGACUUCUUUACUUGGUUACAUCUGAAAAGCCCUGUUUCCAAAGCAGGUCACAGGUACCAGGUGGUAGGACUUGAACAAAUUUUUGAGGGAACAGUUCAGCCCACAAGAGUCAGCAACCAGAGCAGCAAGGUCAAACAAAUGAGGACAAAAUUUUAGUGAAAAUACUUUUUUUCAGCUCUAUGAAUUUGCUUAAAAUUCACAGUUUUGUAGUAGAAACUGGUAUAGGAUAGCAGAGAGCCUGGGCCACUGAGUCCUAGUGUCUGAAUUUCAAUCUUGCAAAGAUCAGUUUCUUUGCCUUUGUAAUAAGAGUCAUGCCCACGUCAUCAAACUGUGGGGGUGAUGGUGGUACUGGAGCGAAAACAUGUCAGUCGCCACAUUGAUGCCUGCACUGUGACCCCUUCAGAAGACUCAUCUGUUAUCAACUCUACAGCAGUAUUUGACCAUCAAUUCUGGUUUACUGUUAUGUUGUGUGUGUGUAUGAGGAAGAUUGUCGCCGAGCUGACACCUGGGCCCAUCUUCCUCUGUUUUAUAUGGGAGACAGCACCACAGCAUGGCUUGAUGAGCGUCAUGGGUCCACACCUGGGAUCUGAACCUGCAAACCCGAGGCUGCUGAAGCGGAGUGUGCGAACUCAACCACCACGCCACCAGGCCAGCCCCGUGGUUUACUGUUUUUUAAUAUAACCGUUACAAUCUUAAUUUUUCAAACAUCUUGAAUACUUUAAAUAAACCUCCUGUUAUUAAGCCUUAAAUCAGCAGUAUUGUGCACCGGGGCUGGCCUCAUCUGUCAUUUUGUACAUGGGCCCCUCUGUGCCCAUACAGCCUACCUUCCAGGAAGGUGACAGGGAUGAUAAAUAUCAAGUUGUUCCACACUGCAUCCCAUUGCAGCGAACUUUCUGCACACAUGGCCUACCCUCUGUGUGAAGCAAAAUGGGUUAUAAAUAUCCAGGAGUUAUUGUGACAUUGAACUGCCAUGGAUGUGGACUAGAAGGGAGUGGCCACUUGGUUUUAUUCAAACUGACCUUACCAUCAUGGCAGCAGCAUGCGGCAACACUCAAGCUGUCAGCCAAGCCUGGGAGCUGUCUGUUUACAGAGUUUGUGUUGAAGAGGGUUUUGCCCCACGGAUUCCACCUGUGGUGACUCUUCAUCAGUUGGGUCAAGGUAAUUGGUUAGACUACUAACCUCCCAAGGCUGACCCUUCACCGAUGGAAGGUCUGGGGAUAGCAGAUUGCAGACUUUUCCCACGAUUCUCGAGAGGGAAUGGAGUUGAGGCGAAAAGGAACAGAAAAUUGAGGAGGUGUCUGUGAACUUAUUGUUAAUGUUCCUCUCAGUUCUUUUAGAAUGCUUGAUACACACACACAAAAUAACAGGACAGUUUCCUGGACAUGCCACCAGGGGACACCUGACGCCCUCCCCCCACCGUGGUGGUUUUCCUCAAGGGGCUUCCAGCUGAAGGUAGGUAAAUGCAACAGUCAGCAACCAUGGUGACAGUUCCUAGAAGGAAAGAAGCAGAACCCACCAUCUACUGGGGAAGCAACUGGAAUGAAAAGCUUUGAAAACAAAGGCAAAAGAUCAAAAGACAAAGUACUGAAAGGGAAUCCAAGAUGUACUGAUGGGUGGACACUAACUUUAGGAAAACCAGGGAGAUCCGGGCACAGAUGGACCCGCAGAGACCAAGCGCGAGCCUCUGAGGCUGUCCCGGAGCCAGCAUGUUCACGACCCUGCGAAGCAGGCAGCUCCCCCUUGAGAGAUGGGGAAACCAAGUCCCAGAGGGAGUGCAGGGCCGUGUCACCGGGUCCACACCCCUCCCCCUUCUGCUCUCCCCUCCGCUGCGUGUAAGCGGUUUCCCCAGCGCGGGAGCCUGCAGGCCUGGGGGCAGAGGAGGCCUCUUUCCGGACCUGGGAGACCUCGCCUGCCCAGCACAGGGGCCUCGCCUCCACAGCCAUGACCUCUCGCCUGGGGCGCGUGACCCACCCGGCUGCCCACUCCCCACCCGCACAGAGCAGAGAGGAUGGGAAGGGGGACACGGGGCCUGACCCUCUCCACAUCGCAGCGAGUUUUCCAGGAAAGCGGGGGACCUUCGUGGCAGGACUCUCCCAGCGCUCUCCAGCCCGGGAUUCAGACCAACUCACCUCUUCCCGGGUCACGGCCGUUACCCCUGCAGAGCUCUCCAAGAGGUCGACUACCGAAAAUGGCGAAAUAGGAAAUGUUUUUAGAGGAACAUAUGCAGAAUCGAAAAGGAGCUGAAUAGAAGCAUGUUUACAGAACUGAGCAAGGACCAAAGGAAAGCUGAGCGAAGAGGCGGAUGGAGAAGCUUUCUCCUGACGCAGGUGUUUUCAGUGCGAGUGGCUGUGCUUUUGCUGUGCAUGUGAAUUUCUAGAACACUGGAGUUACCUAUAAUUAAAAAGAGAAGAAACAUCAGCUUAGGAUGCCAAGAAUGAUUCUGACGCCAGUCGGUUAGAGAAGCACCCGGGGCUCUCUCUGUCCUCCGACUCGCCUCGAAGUAAGCCCAGUGGUUGCGUCACACUUGGAAGCAAGCAAAUAGAGCACAGGCAUUUUAAAGAGAAGCUUCAGAUUUAAGACAUUUUUAGGCAGCUGAAACAAUUCUAGGAGAAGUGUUCCACAUCGUUAAUGCUGAAAGACAAAAGAGCAGACUGCAGCUGGGCGUGAGCAGGCGUGAGAGAGCUGCGCGGCCUGCAAAGGCAAGGAGGAGCAGCCGCUGAGCCCGCCAUACACCAACCUGCCACCUUCUCUGCUCAAGCUGCACAUUAUUGCUAAGAGUAUGCGGUGUUUGAAUAAGGGGACUCGUCGCUGACUGUGAGGCAGCCAAGAAUGAGGAGAGCCGGCCCUUGCUUCCCCGGACCUGGCCAUGGUGUAAGGUGUGAUCAGAGCUGCUGGGUUCAGUUCACUGAAGAGCAGUGUAAGGUGGCCUCCCGCGGCACGCAUAGGAAGUGCUGGCUUAGAGAGCCCGCUGGUCGGUGGCGGAGGAAGCCCAGCUCCCUCAGAAACGUGUAACGACCCGCCUGCUCAGACAGGAGACAGCCCACUACCCGCAAACAUCCUCCAGCACUGGAUGCCAGAGUUGGGCCAGAAAGGCAGUAUCACUGAGCAAGAAGGGACGUGGGACCUGCCAGUCGUUUAUGCCAUCUGGCUCACAUAACCAGAAGAAAACUUGGCACCUACAUUCAACCGGAACGGCCAUAAGUUCUCAAAACAUCUUAUUUUCUCUUUGCCAAGAACAAAGUGACAACUGAUCUCAAAGUUUCAGGUUAACAGAUGCAUUCUGAGCACCUAAUGUAUGAAAUGGAAUGAGCCAAGCACUGGAAGGAUACCGAGCUGUAUCAAUCAGGGAAACGGCUCUCGCUCUAUAAGAGAGAACACUUCAGAUUUCAGUGGCUUAGCCCGUGGAAGUUAAUUUCACACUCAACAGCUCAGUGAUGCUGUUAUAGGUCAGGGGACAACUUUCUUCCACCUGGUGAUCCAGGGAUUCCGGCUCCUUCCGAGUUCCUGCCAUGCUCUUGGGCAUCAGAAUCUUCGGCUUCAAGCUGCCCAAGACGGGGAAGGGAAGAAGGCAUGCACACUUCUUAAAAUGCCCAGCCCAGAAGCGGCACCUGUCACUUCCACUUAUCGUUAAACUGGUAAGAAGCAGGUAUUGGGCACACCUGGAGGAGGUAUUCGCCCAUGGAGUCCUGGGCUGGGUAGUCACUCCCUGCCAGGACUUUACCCUCGGGAAGGAGGAACAAGCGAGAGGUCUCUGUCAUCCAUAUCAUGUAAGAUGUGGCUCCCACCUGCAAAGAAACUUCGUCAGAGUAAAGAAAAGAGUCUGUGGAAGAGAAAGGUCAUGGAGGAGGUGGCAUUUGAAUGAUCCUUGAUUGACAGAUGGAAGCGCCAGCCGGGCGGUGUUGGUGAGAGGGGCAUUCCGGAUGGCACGCCGGCACAAACAGAGCAUGGCGGUGGGGAGGGAAUGCUGAGUGACUAGUUUUCCCCACACAAAGCUUUGCAUGGGGAGAGGGGACAACUCGAGGGCGAGUUCCACGUCUGUUUCCUCUGAUCCCACGCAGAGCCUAGCCUAGGCCUGCCGAGCAGUGCGGCAAGUGAGCAUCUGUGACUCGAAUAAAAGGCGGGACACAGAGAACAAGUUUGGGUGUGCAGGGCAUGAAGGAGGCAUGGGUUUGUGUGAAGCCUUUCACUUAGGACAGAAGUAGAUUUAAGACAAACAAUAAAUCUGUGGAGGGACGUUGUAUACCUCCGGAGCAUCACUCCUCCUUUGUGUGGUGAGAGCACUUUGACUCUCUCGGGAGAACUCCCCUCUCGCAUCCUCGGUAGGACUGUCCUCAAGGGCCUGCCCUCCUGUGGCCUGGACAGUCACCUCUCAUGGAGACGGAACUCGGGCAGAUCAAGGACAGAAGUGGCAGACAGCCGGCCCAGUGCUAGCCUCCCCAGUGGGAUGGUGGACAUCAUCCAUCUGGUCUGCCAUUCUUUGGCAGAUUAAUGGAGGCUACUCAUUCUUGGUCACUCCUCCCAUCAGGAGGCAGAGUCUGUGCCCCUUCCGCUCUAUCUGGACGGGCUCUGUGACUCC
Long non-coding RNA from Equus asinus (donkey), 7980 nucleotides. The record is from Ensembl. NCBI's taxonomy places the organism in Eukaryota, Metazoa, Chordata, Mammalia, Perissodactyla, Equidae.